Caenorhabditis elegans is the source of this 21-nucleotide non-coding RNA. The record is from Ensembl. NCBI's taxonomy places the organism in Eukaryota, Metazoa, Nematoda, Chromadorea, Rhabditida, Rhabditidae.
UCUAGUAUGAAAAUAAUAGGA